Molecule: ribosomal RNA, 253 nt
Filed under: uncultured bacterium
Lineage: Bacteria
Description: partial 16S ribosomal RNA
Rfam family: Bacterial small subunit ribosomal RNA
Source: RNAcentral
UACGUAGGGGGCAAGCGUUGUCCGGAUUUAUUGGGCGUAAAGAGCGUGUAGGCGGCCAAGCAGGUCAGCUGUGAAAACUCGAGGCUCAACCUCGAGACGUCGGUUGAAACCGCUUGGCUAGAGUCCGGAAGAGGAGAGUGGAAUUCCCGGUGUAGCGGUGAAAUGCGCAGAUAUCGGGAAGAACACCCGUGGCUAAGGCGGCUCUCUAGUACGGUACUGACGCUGAGACGCGAAAGCGUGGGGAGCGAACAGG